CCAGGUUUUGGCUGCUCAAUUACCCUACAUUCAGGCAAUCAAAAUUUGGGCACUUGACAGCCCACCUUCAUUAACAAUUGCAACUCCCCACACUGGCUUAUCUUCUCCCCACCUCUGUCUUUUGGCCACCCAAAGGCAUUGUGAGAUCUACUUGAUGCUUCGCAAACCCUCCCCAGAGCCUGGAGAACUCUUUGUGGCAUUGCAGAGGUCUUCAACAGAUGUGGAGCAAUCCAAGCAACGAUUCUCAGAAGCAAGGUUUUCUCGAUAAAGGAACAAGAAGCAGUUUAUGUAUCUCCCUAGACGUUUGCUAUCAGGAGAGCAGCAUGAGAUGGAAAGUCUGCAAGUUAUUCCAUCUCUCCAUCACAGACAAUAGAAACAUGGCUUAAAUACCACCUCUAUCUCUUUCCUGUUCCAUCACCACCUCCAAAUUUUCAAUUAUCUUGCCUAAUGAAGAAUUCUUGAAAGAUUGCAUGCUAAUAAAAAUACUGUUUU
Pantherophis guttatus is the source of this 492-nucleotide non-coding RNA. The record is from RefSeq and is a predicted model, not a curated record. NCBI's taxonomy places the organism in Eukaryota, Metazoa, Chordata, Lepidosauria, Squamata, Colubridae.